AAGUCGUAACAAGGUCUCCGUAGGUGAACCUGCGGAGGGAUCAUUCACAUGAUUUAUCUUUUAAACAAACCGUGAACUUUAAAUACUAUUCGUAUGUUUAAAUUUAUUUUUUCAUACUGUCAUUCGAUCUGAACAUAAAGAUAGUUGGCUUGUUUUUUAUUAAACUUUCUCAGCUUGAUUCAUUGUGAAACUAAACACUUCAUAAUAAUCACCAAUAAACAUAGAAACAACUCUAUGCCCUGGAUAUCUUGGUUCUC
RNAcentral lists this unclassified non-coding RNA (257 nucleotides) under fungal sp. RNAcentral describes it as "partial internal transcribed spacer region". The stretch from base 1 to 46 matches the Rfam family "Eukaryotic small subunit ribosomal RNA", at positions 1786 to 1831 of the family's 1831-position model. RNAcentral also lists the same sequence under 1 other name. Lineage: Eukaryota; Fungi. The record is from RNAcentral.